AGGCUGGUAGAUGGUGCUAGAGGAUGCUCGGGAUCCACAUUAAGCCCAUUGUAAGGCAACUGCUAGUUCUGGAAGCUUCCCUGUUUCACGGGAGGAAGCAAGGUCCUCUGGCCCCCUGGGCAGAAGAGAAGGCGCAGCUCUUAUUAAUUCAAGUUCAAGUGGCGAUAAACGAGAACCAAUUAACAAGUAUGAUUCUUAGGUUAAGCAUGAAUAAAGCCAAAGGACAUGGACUUCCAGCGGCUCCUCUAGAGGAGAGUUUUCCCUGUGAAAACUUGCUCUUUAAAGCUUAAUCGGAGCAAAUGACACUCCACAGAAAACCUGAAUUGACGUUGACUCUGAUUGAGUGCUAAAGAAGCAAAAACCAGCUGCUCGGACAUAGUGUUUUAAAGCAUGAAUCUAUGCCUGGAAAGAGUGGGGCAAAAGGUAAGUAAGAAGUGUUGAAAGGAAUUUGCUUGUCCUCUUAGCCCAAGUCCAGUUGACUUGAGCUCUUGAGUCAGUGCUCACCAAUUUAUCUGAAGUCGGCACCACAAAAGGGAAAGACAGUUGCUUAUUCAGAUGAGCCAUUCAUGCAAAGUGCCUCACAGUGAAAUCUGUAAUAAAUCUGUUCUCAGUGAAAUCUGUGAUAAACCCCAUGGAAUAUAAGGACCAUAGGUUCUUUUCAGGCCCUUACUAGCAAACAUUAAAAGGAUAAUCUUAGACUUCAGUAUUUUGUUUGCCAAGCUGUGGCUUCCAAGGUCAGAAUAGAAAGCAAUGAAGCUUUCUACUCUGCAAGGUCUCUGAAGGAAUCCAAAUUUCUCUGUUCCAGAUAUUUACCUGCUGGCAACGCUGAUCCUGCCUAAGGGAAGGAGGGCAAUGAUGGAUAGGUAAAUCCCAAGGAACCAAGUUUAGUUACGUAGAAAGAUAUGUAGAGGAAGAGAUUGAAUCACCAGUAAAUGCAGUCUGUUAACAUCAGGAAACAUGGUUUGAAGGCAAAGGGCACAGAAAAUGUGUGAAAUAGCCCCAAUAAAAGCUACGUCACACAGGAUUAAUUUUUACAUGGUGAAAAUGUGAGAUGAAUGCACAUGUGUUUAUUCAUGACUAUUAAGGGAGGGGGUGUUGAAACACAAUUUCCUGUUGGGAUAUUGCAUCCAGGUGGGAAAUUCAUCUCAUGCAAAACACUGAGUAACUGGGACAAAUUGUUAUUAAGAACAACAAUUAUAUCUUGAGGAUAUGGACAAGCUGCUGGAAUAUGUGUAGCUGACCAUCUGCCCCUUUGGCACUUGCGCACCUUGGCUUCUUAGAGUUAGCCAUAGAGGACUGUGAGUCCAGAGAGUGAUUGCUGCUUCCUUAGUGAAGGGGGAGGGACCAACGGCCUUGAAGGAUGUGGUGGGGCACCUUCUCCUUAAGAAGACCUCCAUGGACCCAGAAGCAUUAAGCAACUCUCAUCCUUUUUUCAUCAAGGUGCUUGAGAAGGCAGUGGCAAUUCAUCUUCAGGCAUGCUUGGAGUAAACUGAUAACUUGGUAUCUGGCUACUGAGUUGGAUGAAGGUGAAUAAACUAAAAUUGAAUCUUUAUAAGACGUGGUGUGCUCUUGCUUGAUGUCUCCUGGGCCUAAGAACUAGGGGAAGAGUCUGAUUUUGAUAUGCUGCACUUUCCCAGAAGGUGCAGGUACAUAGUCUAGGGUGCUCUUUGAUAGCAUCUUGUUGGUGGUGAUGCAAAGGUCUCCAGCCACAGCAUUUCUCAGCAGGGAUAGCUUGGCCACAGGAAUCCAUGCUCUGAUAUCCUCCCAUUACUGUAACGUUGCCCUUGAAGACAACUUGGGAAUUGCUGCCAGCA
Non-coding RNA from Podarcis muralis (Common wall lizard), 1814 nucleotides. The record is from RefSeq and is a predicted model, not a curated record. Lineage: Eukaryota; Metazoa; Chordata; Lepidosauria; Squamata; Lacertidae.